Molecule: long non-coding RNA, 1642 nt
Filed under: Mytilus galloprovincialis (Mediterranean mussel)
Lineage: Eukaryota; Metazoa; Mollusca; Bivalvia; Mytilida; Mytilidae
Source: RNAcentral
AGAUUUUGAUUGACUGGUGGCAGAAAGGGUAUGUUAUAUAAAGUGGCAUUAAGGCCUUGCAGACAGAGUUAACAAUAACAUGCUGAAGUUGCAAUUACAGUUUUAUGAAGGCUCAAAUGUAAUCGCAUAUUGACGGUUGAAGAACUCGUACCAACAGAUUUCACUUUGGGUAUUUAAUUGUAUUGAUAAUUAGUAAGGGACUUUACUUUAACAAGUUUCUUUCACCCUUAGCCAUUGUUGUUAACAAGUUAUGUUGAAAUUAACAUAAUUAACGAUCUUUUAACAGAUUUUUUUGGAACUUUUACAAUGUAAUUUGUAAUAAAAAUUUUGAAGCGUGUAUGGAAAUUAUAAGGAAAGUUAUAAUGUCAUACUAACUGUCUCGUUAAAUAUAUUCAACGUACAAUCAGUGCAAUAAGGAAAGAUAUGAGAUGAACAUUAUAUAAAUAUAUCGACAUAUGUGUAAAGGUAGAGGCAGGGGUGUCCUGCUUACCAUUGUAUAAAGCACCCUAUAUUUUUAGAUUAUACUCGUGAAUAAUGAAUCUUAAAUCACAUAUUUGAUAAGGCCCAGCUAUUUUUACCUUUUAAUUGUGUAUAGUAAAUCUACAAAGUUAUUUUAUAAGUCCCCAAAUAUUUUUAGAUUUUAUCCGUGUACAGUGAAUCUAAAAUAUUUUUAGUUAUUUGUGAAAAACUUUUAGUGACGUAUGAUUUAUUAGUUUUAAUUAACUCCCCUCUUGGAUAAUAUUUGUUGAGGAGGUUUUUUCGUAAAUUGGUUAAAUUGUUAUAAAUUAGGCGUAAGUUUUCUCAAUUGAAUUGUUUCAUAUUUUUCAUGUUGGAGCCUUUAUAGCUGACUAUACAGUAUGGGUUUUUCUCAUUGUUGAAGGCCUUACCGUUGCCUAUAAUUGCUUACAUCCACUUCAUUUGAACUUGGGCAAGGGUGGAUAGUUGUCUCAUUGGCAAUCAUACCAUAUCUCCUUAUUUGUAUGAAAAUACAAUGAUUUCUCUUUCUUUUACAGGAAAUAAUGGCAAGUUGGAAUAAGGUAAGUUUUUUUCCCUUAAAAGUCAGUGUUCAUGGGACCUAUGUCAUGUGACCUAUGUUGUUUAUUAAAUUUACAGAAAGGUACAGGCGUGCAGUAUUCUUAGGGGAGAACAGGAGAAAUCAAAAUGAAUACAGUGAAAAGAAUUUCAAUAUACAAAAUUCAAGGACACAAACAAAGAGACACAUAAGAUAUCAAAGGACAUUUCAACUCUCAAAAACAAUCAAAAUACAAACAACAUUCUUCAAAUCAUUACGUAGAAAAUUAAAGACCCUACAAUACUAACCUCAACAAAAACUGAGGCUCAUCUCUAAACUGAUACAUAAUACAAUUGUCUACAGAUUUUUCUAAAAAAAAACAUCUGAAAUUAUAGACAAUUUCAUUCCCUCUUCAUAGUCAUCGUAUUUAAUAUAAAAUAUUGAAACUGUAAACAUUUAGCUUGUUAAAUUCAAUUAUUACAUUUAUUAUACAUUUGUAUGUUCUAGAGGAAAAUGUAAAAACUUUGUUUUGCUUACAGGAACUUUUUACAGCUGCAUUGGAGGGGAAUAUAAAAGAGGUAGAACUAAGUGUAAAGAACGGAGCUAGUUUAGAAUGUAGAAGUGAUUUGG